This 497-nucleotide ribosomal RNA is filed under the name uncultured bacterium. RNAcentral describes it as "partial 16S ribosomal RNA". It matches the Rfam family "Bacterial small subunit ribosomal RNA", at positions 28 to 507 of the family's 1533-position model. The record is from RNAcentral.
GAUGAACGCUGGCGGCGUGCCUAAUACAUGCAAGUCGAGCGAACGGACGCGAAGCUUGCUUCUCUGAUGUUAGCGGCGGACGGGUGAGUCACACGUGUAUAACCUACCUAUAAGACUGGGAUAACUUCGGGAAACCGGAGCUAAUACCGGAUAAUCUUUUGAACCGCAUGGUUCAAAAGUGAAAGACGGUCUUGCUGUCACUUCUAGCUGGAUCCGCGCUGCAUUAGCUAGUUGGUAAGGUAACGGCUUACCAAGGCAACGAUGCAUAACCGACCUGAGAGGGUGAUCGGCCACACUGGAACUGAGACACGGUCCAGACUCCUACGGGAGGGAGCAGUAGGGAAUCUUACGCAAUGGGCGAAAGCCUGACGGAGCAACGCCGCGUGAGUGAUGAAGGUCUUCGGAUCGUAAAACUCUGUUAUUAGGGAAGAACAGAUGUGUAAGUAACUGUGCACAUCGUGACGGUACCUAAUCAGAAAGCCACGGCUAACUACGUG